This 453-nucleotide ribosomal RNA is filed under the name uncultured bacterium. RNAcentral describes it as "bacterial SSU rRNA". It matches the Rfam family "Bacterial small subunit ribosomal RNA", at positions 28 to 507 of the family's 1533-position model. The record is from RNAcentral.
GACUAACGCUGGCGGCGUGCCUAACACAUGCAAGUCGAACGAAGCAGCAAUGCUUAGUGGCAGACGGGUGAGUAACGCGUAGAUAAUGUGCCCUCUUGCGGGGGGAUACCGUUUCGAAAGGAACGUUAAUACCGCAUAAAGUCCUUAGGAGGCAUCUCCCUAGGACCAAACUUCCGGGGCGGGAGGAGCAAUCUGCGUACUAUCAGCUAGUUGGUGAGGUAAUGGCUCACCAAGGCUACGACGGUUAACUGGUCUGAGAGGAUGAUCAGUCACACUGGAACUGAGACACGGUCCAGACUCCUACGGGAGGCAGCAGUGAGGAAUAUUGCGCAAUGGGCGAAAGCCUGACGCAGCGACGCCGCGUGGAGGAUGAAGGAUUUUCGGUCUGUAAACUCCUGUCAGUAGGGAAGAGAAUGGACGGUACCUACUGAGGAAGCUUCGGCUAACUACGUG